GCAAAUUCCCAAAGCACAUUCAAAUUAAACUGGGAGGUGGUAGAAAAUAAUCCUAUUAAAAAUCCUAUUCGGGUAAAGACAGAUGGAUAUGGAACAAGCCAUUUCAAGGAGCAAUUUCCCAGGAUUUUCAGCUUUGCAACAGUAGAAGUGUAUCUCUGCAGAAAUAGAUCAUAACCUUUGGAAAGGUGUAGUAAUUGUCAAAGCGAGGGAUGAGCCAGGAAGCGGAUAGACUAUGUAGCAAAG
Molecule: unclassified non-coding RNA, 243 nt
Filed under: Hevea brasiliensis (rubber tree)
Lineage: Eukaryota; Viridiplantae; Streptophyta; Magnoliopsida; Malpighiales; Euphorbiaceae
Source: RNAcentral